ACUAUUGCGCCCCAGGCUCGUCUUAAGUGUAGUAUCUGUUCUUAUCGUAUUAACCUACGGUAUACACUCGAAUGAGUGUAAUAAAGGUUAUAUGAUUUUUGGAAACUAGGAAAGACUCGGGGCUUGCUCCGACUUUCCAAGGGUCGUCCUGGCGUUGCACUGCUGCUGGGCUCGGCCCAGUCCCC
RNAcentral lists this small nuclear RNA (185 nucleotides) under Caenorhabditis brenneri. RNAcentral describes it as "snRNA CBN33641". It matches the Rfam family "U2 spliceosomal RNA". Rfam says of the family: U2 is a small nuclear RNA (snRNA) component of the spliceosome (involved in pre-mRNA splicing). Complementary binding between U2 snRNA (in an area lying towards the 5' end but 3' to hairpin I) and the branchpoint sequence (BPS) of the intron results the bulging out of an unpaired adenosine, on the BPS, which initiates a nucleophilic attack at the intronic 5' splice site, thus starting the first of two transesterification reactions that mediate splicing. Lineage: Eukaryota; Metazoa; Nematoda; Chromadorea; Rhabditida; Rhabditidae. The record is from Rfam by way of RNAcentral.